Long non-coding RNA from Manis javanica (Malayan pangolin), 727 nucleotides. RefSeq lists it as uncharacterized. Lineage: Eukaryota; Metazoa; Chordata; Mammalia; Pholidota; Manidae. The record is from RefSeq and is a predicted model, not a curated record.
GCAGCAGAGGGUCUCAGGUGUUCUCUGACACACACUCGUGACCACCUGCCGGGCGCCCGGGGCUGCCAUGUCAGGCCGGGCAGUACAGCAGCUCAUUCUCAGGUGGAGAGGCAGUCAGCACAAGCUGCUAAACAAGGCGUCUAGAAUCCUGCCCUGCCCAUCCCUCGGGAUCACCAAGACAUCUGGACUUCCUGGGCCCACUGUGGUCUUCUUGUGUCCUUCAUGGUCAGGGAACAAGUGUCCAAGUCCAGCCAAGUGUCUCUGCAUGUUGGAAUCCAUGAGUUUUUACAGGUGACAGGCUCUGCCUCAGACUCCUUUUGGUGGAAGUGGAGGUAUGAACAGAUAGCCCACAUUAACAGGAGACUUCAGCAAGACCCUUGCCUUCUGAUUUUGCAUGGCAGCAUGGCGCUCAGCAUUUCCUCCUGCAGACACCCAUGCACUGUCUUAGAGGCCUUCCUCUGCAUGGCCUGCUCCUGGACGCUUUCUCCCAUUCCUUCCUAGCAUCUACUACCAACUGUGAUUUGUAAUUACUUGUAUGUUUAUUUGCUUGGUUCUGAAUCCUUUGAGUGUAGCUACAAAAGGAGAAAUGGCACCAUUCAUAGACCACGUCUUGACCUCCAAAGACUUUGCAGAGAGCCGACCUCGCCAAACCCAGGAUGAAAGUCCUUCAAAGAAACUCUCUGUCCGUUUAAUCAACUUCUCUGCUGCCCUCUCAGGGCCCUGAUGC